Molecule: ribosomal RNA, 434 nt
Filed under: uncultured Anaerosporobacter sp.
Lineage: Bacteria; Bacillati; Bacillota; Clostridia; Lachnospirales; Lachnospiraceae
Description: partial 16S ribosomal RNA
Rfam family: Bacterial small subunit ribosomal RNA
Source: RNAcentral
ACGGGAGGCAGCAGUGGGGGAUAUUGCACAAUGGGGGAAACCCUGAUGCAGCGACGCCGCGUGAGUGAAGACGUAUUUCGGUAUGUAAAGCUCUAUCAUCAGGAAAGAUAAUGACGGUACCUAACUAAGAAGCACCGGCUAACUACGUGCCAGCAGCCGCGGUAAUACGUAUGGUGCAAGCGUUAUCCGGAAUUACUGGGUGUAAAGGGAGUGUAGGUGGGACUGUAAGUCAGAUGUGAAAUAUGCCGGCUCAACUGGGAGACUGCAUUUGAAACUGAGGUUCUUGAGUGAAGUAGAGGUAAGCGGAAUUCCGAGUGUAGCGGUGAAAUGCGUAGAUAUUAGGAGGAACAUCAGUGGCGAAGGCGGCUUACUGGGCUUUAACUGACGCUGAGGCUCGAAAGCGUGGGGAGCAAACAGGAUUAGAUACCCUGGUA